AUUUUAAAAAUGGCAGUUUCCCCUGCGCUUUUUCUCUCUCCUGUGCCUUGUGAAGAAAGUGCCUGCUUCGCCUUCACCUUCGGCCAUGAUUGUAAGUUUCCUGAGGCCUUCUCCGCCUGCAGAGCUAUAAUCCUCUCUCCACAACUUGAUAAUGCACAAACUGCAAAUCUUCUGGUACUCACUGCUGCAAGCAAACUUGAAGUCUUUCUGAGCCUGACUCUUCAUUCCUGCCUUGUGUGACCCAGGGAUGGAGGACUGCCCUCCCAACUCAUUAUCCUCUUUGCCCAGGAGCUAUCUGCUUCAUCGACAUGGCAGGGAACGUGGCUGAACACAGAGGACUCAUUUUUGCAGCUUCCCUACCAGAGAGAGAGAGACACCCUUUUUACCCGAGUUCUGAGUUGAAAUAUCCUAGAAGAGAACUCUGAUUGGCCUGGCUUGGGUCACAUGCCUGUCCUUGAGUUGAUCAACUGUGAUUAGUUAUAAGUGUACUCAUUAGUAACUUCCCCUGGAACCUUAGAUUUGAUGUGGGGUAAGACUUCCAAAAACAAACAAAAAAAUAAAACAGAAGAAUGCU
Molecule: long non-coding RNA, 574 nt
Filed under: Homo sapiens (human)
Lineage: Eukaryota; Metazoa; Chordata; Mammalia; Primates; Hominidae
Description: HSALNT0314089
Source: RNAcentral